GAUGAACGCUAGCUACAGGCUUAACACAUGCAAGUCGAGGGGUCUCGCGGGAGCUUGCUCCCAAGAGACGACCGGCGCACGGGUGAGUAACGCGUAUCCAACCUGCCCUUCAUAUUGGGAUAGCCUUCCGAAAGGAAGAUUAAUACCGAAUAACAUAGAGUGGUUGCCUGAUUUCUCUAUGAAAGCUCCGGCGAUGAAGGAUGGGGAUGCGUUCCAUUAGGUAGUAGGCGGGGUAACGGCCCACCUAGCCAACGAUGGAUAGGGGUUCUGAGAGGAAGGUCCCCCACACUGGAACUGAGACACGGUCCAGACUCCUACGGGAGGCAGCAGUGAGGAAUAUUGGUCAAUGGGCGCAAGCCUGAACCAGCCAAGUAGCGUGAAGGAUGACUGCCCUAUGGGUUGUAAACUGCUUUUGCGGGAGAAUAACCGGCGCCACGCGUGGCGCCCUGCAUGUAUCCCGNGAAUAAGGACCGGCUAAUUCCGUGCCAGCAGCCGACGG
This 499-nucleotide ribosomal RNA is filed under the name uncultured bacterium. RNAcentral's name for it is "bacterial SSU rRNA". It matches the Rfam family "Bacterial small subunit ribosomal RNA", at positions 28 to 520 of the family's 1533-position model. The record is from RNAcentral.